This 63-nucleotide transfer RNA is filed under the name Rattus norvegicus (Norway rat). It matches the Rfam family "tRNA". Rfam says of the family: Transfer RNA (tRNA) molecules are approximately 80 nucleotides in length. Their secondary structure includes four short double-helical elements and three loops (D, anti-codon, and T loops). Further hydrogen bonds mediate the characteristic L-shaped molecular structure. tRNAs have two regions of fundamental functional importance: the anti-codon, which is responsible for specific mRNA codon recognition, and the 3' end, to which the tRNAs corresponding amino acid is attached (by aminoacyl-tRNA synthetases). tRNAs cope with the degeneracy of the genetic code in two manners: having more than one tRNA (with a specific anti-codon) for a particular amino acid; and 'wobble' base-pairing, i.e. permitting non-standard base-pairing at the 3rd anti-codon position. Lineage: Eukaryota; Metazoa; Chordata; Mammalia; Rodentia; Muridae. The record is from Rfam by way of RNAcentral.
GGGGAUUUGGCUCAGUGGUAGAGCGCUUGCAUAGCAAGCGCAAGGCCCUGGAUUCAGUCCCCA